UACGUAGGUCCCGAGCGUUGUCCGGAUUUAUUGGGCGUAAAGCGAGCGCAGGUGGUUUAUUAAGUCUGGUGUAAAAGGCAGUGGCUCAACCAUUGUAUGCAUUGGAAACUGGUAGACUUGAGUGCAGGAGAGGAGAGUGGAAUUCCAUGUGUAGCGGUGAAAUGCGUAGAUAUAUGGAGGAACACCGGUGGCGAAAGCGGCCUGCUGGACGAUGACUGACGUUGAGGCUCGAAAGCGUGGGGAGCAAACAGG
This 252-nucleotide ribosomal RNA is filed under the name uncultured bacterium. RNAcentral's name for it is "partial 16S ribosomal RNA". It matches the Rfam family "Bacterial small subunit ribosomal RNA", at positions 524 to 776 of the family's 1533-position model. The record is from RNAcentral.